RNAcentral lists this ribosomal RNA (537 nucleotides) under uncultured bacterium. Its description in RNAcentral is "bacterial SSU rRNA". It matches the Rfam family "Bacterial small subunit ribosomal RNA", at positions 791 to 1329 of the family's 1533-position model. The record is from RNAcentral.
UAGUCACGCCGUAAACGAUGGAUACUAGGUGUCCGGGAUAUUAACCUCCUGGGUACUACAGUUAACGCGUUAAGUAUCCCGCCUGGGGAGUACGGUCGCAAGGCUAAAACUCAAAGGAAUUGACGGGGGCCCGCACAAGCGGUGGAGUAUGUGGUUUAAUUCGAAGCAACGCGCAGAACCUUACCUACCCUUAACAUUUCACGACGUAUACAGAGAUGUAUAUUUCUCUUCGGAGACGUGAGGAUAGGUGCUGCAUGGCUGUCGUCAGCUCGUGUCGUAAGAUGUCUGGUUAAGUCCAAUAACGAGCGCAACCCUUAUCCUUAGUUACCAGCAUUAAGUUGGGGACUCUAGGGAGACUGCCGGUGUUAAACCGGAGGAAGGCGGGGAUGACGUCAAGUCCUCAUGGCCCUUACGGGUAGGGCUACACACGUGCUACAAUGGUAGGUACAGAGGGUUGCGAAACUGUGAAGUGGAGCUAAUCUCAGAAAGCCUACCCCAGUUCGGAUUGGAGUCUGCAACUCGACUCCAUGAAGGUGG